Molecule: ribosomal RNA, 322 nt
Filed under: uncultured eukaryote
Lineage: Eukaryota
Description: partial 18S ribosomal RNA
Rfam family: Eukaryotic small subunit ribosomal RNA
Source: RNAcentral
CCCUUAGAUGUUCUGGGCAGCACGCGCGCUACAAUGGUCUUCGCAAACGGAUGCAUUCUCGAAGGAGAAUGCCAAUCUUGGAAUCUAUGCCUUGGUCGGGACAGUUGCUUGCAAUUUUUCGACUCGAACCAGGAAUUCCUUGUAAUCGUGAUUCAUCACAUCACGAUGAAUACGUCCCUGCCCUUUGUACACACCGCCCGUCGCACCUACCGAUUGAAUGGUCCGGUGAAAUCUUGGGAUUUUGUUUUGUUUGCAUUUAUUUGUAUCGAGACGAGAGAACUUGAGUAAACCUUACCAUUUAGAGGAAGGUGAAGUCGUAACA